AAAUAUCCAUGUCUGGAAUUACAUCACACCAAUCAUCGCCAUGCUCACACGGGGAUUAUUACAUGGGAACGAGGAAGGCUAGCUUUAGAGCGAGAGGCCACCGGACUCCUCGUCCUCGUCGAGGCCAGAGGUGUAGACAGUGUAGAGGGACCAGAUGAGGCCGAAGACACCCAGGAGGAUCCACCCCAGCAGGUUGUUGCUCAGGCCGAGGCUCAGCCCGGUGCCCUCCGUGGACAUCCGGUCGUCCACGAGCGCCAGCGCCGGCGCCGCGGACGCGGUCACCGCGCCCGCCGCCGCGAGCAGGGACGCGCCGGCGCCGCGCACGCUGGUGGUCGGGGUCGCCUCCUUGGCGUCCUUGGAGUAGCUGCACCUCACCCUCUCGCUCCUCGCCCUCAGCUGUGGCAGCCCUGCAUGAUCAAUUGACAGUGUUUUUCUUUACUUCUUUAUGCUCCCAGCUCAGCCAUUGCGCAUCGGCGUCCGUGCAAAUGAAACACAGUUGUUACUCUGUGAAAGGCACGUACCUAG
This 525-nucleotide long non-coding RNA is filed under the name Brachypodium distachyon (stiff brome). RNAcentral describes it as "long non-coding RNA (BDIS_LNC002649)". Lineage: Eukaryota; Viridiplantae; Streptophyta; Magnoliopsida; Poales; Poaceae. The record is from RNAcentral.